This 1879-nucleotide ribosomal RNA is filed under the name Parorchites zederi. Its description in RNAcentral is "SSU rRNA". It matches the Rfam family "Eukaryotic small subunit ribosomal RNA", at positions 87 to 1678 of the family's 1831-position model. The record is from RNAcentral. Lineage: Eukaryota; Metazoa; Platyhelminthes; Cestoda; Cyclophyllidea; Dilepididae.
CUGCGAAUGGCUCAUUAAAUCAGCUAUGGUUUAUUGGAUCAUACCCGUUAAAUGGAUAACUGUAAUAACUCUAGAGCUAAUACAUGCCUUGAAGCCCUGACUCAGUCGUUUAGGCUGGGAAUGGGUGCACUUAUUAGAUCAGAAGCCAACUGACCGGGCUAACACCUGGUUAAAGCACUUCUGGUGACUCUGGAUAAUUGUUACAGAUCGCAGUCGGCCUUGAGUCGGCGACGGGUCCUUCAAAUGUCUGCCCUAUCAACUUUCGAUGGUAGGUGACCUGCCUACCAUGGUGAUAACGGGUAACGGGGAAUCAGGGUUCGAUUCCGGAGAGGGAGCCUGAGAAACGGCUACCACUUCCAAGGGAGGCAGCAGGCGCGCAAAUUACCCACUCCCAGCGCGGGGAGGUGGUGACGAAAAAUACCGAUGCGGGACUCCUAUGAGGCUCCGUAAUCGGAAUGAGUGGACUCUAAAUCCUUUCACGAGGAUCAAUUGGAGGGCAAGUCUGGUGCCAGCAGCCGCGGUAACUCCAGCUCCAAUAGCGUAUAUUAAAGUUGCUGCAGUUAAAAAGCUCGUAGUUGGAUCUCGGUCGCAUUUUUGCCUGUUGGUAUUAUUGGGCGGCGGUGCUGGGCUGUCGGCGUGCCGUGGUUGUGUGCGGGUAGCCCGAGAGGGUCCGUGCAUGGUUGCGGUCGUUGGCAGUCUGUUCAAUGCGCAGUCGUCCCAAGCUGGCACGGCGAGGAUGUAACCUGUAAGCCAUGUCUGUGGAGUAACAUCCACAGGUGUAUGCGGGUGUCGGGCAGUGCACUGCACUUGUUGUGGAGCCUGUCGGCCCGUGUGCAUGCCCCCUUGGUGCCCUUAAUAAGGUGUCGGGGGGCGGAUGGCACGUUUACUUUGAACAAAUUUGAGUGCUCAAAUCAGGCCGAUGUUGCCUGAAUAGUUUUGCAUGGAAUAAUGGAAUAGGACUUCGGUUCUAUUUCGUUGGGGUUUUCGGAUCCGAAGUAAUGAUCAAAAGAGACAGGCGGGGACGUUUGUAUGGCUGCGCUAGAGGUGAAAUUCAUGGACCGUAGCCAGACAAACUAAAGCGAAAGCAUUCGUCAAGCAUGUUUUCAUUGGCCAUGAGCGAAAGUCAGAGGCUCGAAGACGAUCAGAUACCGUCCUAGUUCUGACCAUAAACGAUGCCAACUGACGAUCCGUGGUGGUAGUAUAAACCUUCCCCACGGGCAGUCCCCGGGAAACCUUUAAGUCUUUGGGUUCCGGGGGAAGUAUGGUUGCAAAGCUGAAACUUAAAGGAAUUGACGGAAGGGCACCACCAGGAGUGGAGCCUGCGGCUUAAUUUGACUCAACACGGGAAAACUCACCCGGGCCGGACACUAUGAGGAUUGACAGAUUGAUAGCUCUUUCUUGAUUUGGUGGAUGGUGGUGCAUGGACGUUCUUAGUUGGUGGAGCGAUUUGUCUGGUUAAUUCCGAUAACGAACGAGACUCCAGCCUGCUAAUUAGUGCGUUCGUCCACUGUCCCUGUUGGACGGCGUUGAAUGCGGCUGCUUGUGGGCCCUAGGUCUACUCUGCGGCUUGUCAGACGACGUUAGUCCUCGGGGGCGGCGCGAAUGCUCACUUCUUAGAGGGACAAGCGGGAGAAGCCGCACGAAAUAGAGCAAUAACAGGUCUGUGAUGCCCUUAGAUGUCCGGGGCCGCACGCGCGCUACAAUGGCGGUGUCAACGAGUGAGACCUUCUGGCCCGAGAGGGUUGGAUAAACUGGUCAAUCACCGUCAUGACAGGGAUCGGGGCUUGGAAUUGUUCCCCGUGAACGAGGAAUUCCUAGUAAGUGCAAGUCAUAAGCUUGCGCUGAUUACGUCCCUGCCCUUUGUACACACCGCCCGUCG